RNAcentral lists this ribosomal RNA (459 nucleotides) under uncultured bacterium. RNAcentral's name for it is "partial 16S ribosomal RNA". It matches the Rfam family "Bacterial small subunit ribosomal RNA", at positions 338 to 795 of the family's 1533-position model. The record is from RNAcentral.
CCUACGGGUGGCAGCAGUGAGGAAUAUUGGUCAAUGGGCGCGAGCCUGAACCAGCCAAGUCGCGUGAGGGAAGACGGUCCUAUGGAUUGUAAACCUCUUUUGUCGGGGAGCAAAAGACGCCACGCGUGGCGUUCCGAGAGUACCCGAAGAAAAAGCAUCGGCUAACUCCGUUCCAGCAGCCGCGGUAAUACGGAGGAUUCGAGCGUUAUCCGGAUUUAUUGGGUUUAAAGGGUGCGCAGGCGGAAGAUCAAGUCAGCGGUAAAAUUGAGAGGCUCAACCUCUUCGAGCCGUUGAAACUGGUUUUCUUGAGUGAGUGAGAAGUAUGCGGAAUGCGUGGUGUAGCGGUGAAAUGCAUAGAUAUCGAGAGGAACACUCGUGGCGAAGGCGGGUUCCUGGACAUUAACUGACGCUGAGGCACGAAGGCCAGGGGAGCGAAAGGGAUUAGAUACCCCGGUAGUC